AUUGAACGCUGGCGGCAUGCCUUACACAUGCAAGUCGAACGGCAGCACGGGAGCAAUCCUGGUGGCGAGUGGCGAACGGGUGAGUAAUAUAUCGGAACGUGCCCAGUCGUGGGGAUAACGUAGCAAAAGCUACGCUAAUACCGCAUACGAUCUAUGGAUGAAAGCGGGGGAUCGCAAGACCUCGCGCGAUUGGAGCGGCCGAUAUCAGAUUAGGUAGUUGGUGAGGUAAAGGCUCACCAAGCCGACGAUCUGUAGCUGGUCUGAGAGGACGACCAGCCACACUGGGACUGAGACACGGCCCAGACUCCUACGGGAGGCAGCAGUGGGGAAUUUUGGACAAUGGGCGCAAGCCUGAUCCAGCAAUGCCGCGUGCAGGAUGAAGGCCUUCGGUUGUAACUGCUUUGUACGAACGAACGGUGAGCUCUAAUAC
This 430-nucleotide ribosomal RNA is filed under the name uncultured bacterium. RNAcentral describes it as "bacterial SSU rRNA". It matches the Rfam family "Bacterial small subunit ribosomal RNA", at positions 30 to 465 of the family's 1533-position model. The record is from RNAcentral.